CAAUUUUAUAAUUUUUUGUCAAAAUACCACCCCUCCCCAAAAUUUUUAAAACUACCACCUAUAAAUACAUCUUUAUUGUAAACUGAUUGCACCCAUAUCACUUUUUCAGAAAUUGGGUUCUCCCUCAACUCUCUUGGCUCUGUCUCUCUCUUUAGCCUAGCUCUCUCUCUCUCUGACAUAGUCAUCUUCCUCCCUCAGCCAUCCAAGCUUAACUCCACAGUUCACAUCCACGAGGUACUGUUCACGUUCCUUUUCUUAGAAAUUUGGGGUUUUUGUGAAUUUGGUUUAUGAUGUAUGGAUUUGUAUGAAAUUGGUUUAGGGGUUUCUUCCAAAUUGGUUUGAUAGGAAGGUGAUGUUGUUGUUGCUGUCGCUGACAGACUGUUUUUCCUGGGUUGUUUUUGGUGGGUGUUACUGCGAAUGCUUACAAGGUUGCUGAUUCUCCUUCUAAGGUCUCUCUUUCUCUCUAUUUCGUCAAAUUCUAAGGUUUUUUUUGUUUUUUUUUGGGGUUACUUUUUUUUGAUUUCUUUUGCUAAUUGUAAUUGGGCCUUUGUUGCAGAGGUGGAUUUGUUUUGUGCCCAAAAGAUUGUGACUUUGUUGAAAGUUCGUAAAUGGAAAAGGCAGCUGCCCCCUACGGCUUGGAACGCUCAAUUCGGAGGGUCUGAAGAACAACCAUGUAGUAAGAAAGUUGGAGAAGCAUCAACAGAUUUGCACCCUUGACCAACAUAUUGAAGAGCAAUUUGGUGGUGGUUGUCUGUUGGCUUGUAUCUCAUCACAACCUAGAUAGUGGCUGUGCUGAUGGGAUGGGAAAACAUUGGACAAUGAGUUGGAGGUUGUUAAGGGAAUGAAGCUAGACAGGGGCUACAUAUCCUCUUAUUUCAUCACCAACCAGAACAAUCAGAAAUGUGAAUUGGAAAAUCCUCUAAUCAUAAUCCAUGAGAAGAAAAUCUCAAGUAUUAAUGCUGUGGUUAAAGUAUUGGAGUUGGUCUUGCAGGUUAUCAUUUCUCUGGUUAGGUUCACUAGUUUCUUCUUUUUUAUCAUGAAUUGGUUGACAAACUUUUGCUCUUUUUCAAAAGCAAAGGUCUUUGCAUUUUGUUAUAUCUUUCAGAACCAAAGUUAUAAAAGAAAAUGGUUUUCCUCUUUGUUAAUUGAGAAUCAUCUGCAGUUAUGAUUUCAGAUCUAUAGAUAACUUGUUGUUGCUGAUAUUGCUACACGGGAGGAGAAUAGAACAGCUUGAAAAAUGUGCAAGAAGAGAGAGCUAACUCAUACACCGAAGAACAAAUUGGUGAAGUUAAGAUCAAAUUAGUAGAAUUUGUGAGCUCUCCAUUAUUUAUAAUUAUAGGUAGGAAGUAUGUAUGUAAUAGAGUAAAGAUUGGUUGACUAUGUAAUAACAAUUGAAUUUUCAAGUUUUAUGAAAGAAAUAA
Molecule: long non-coding RNA, 1421 nt
Organism: Prunus persica (peach)
Lineage: Eukaryota; Viridiplantae; Streptophyta; Magnoliopsida; Rosales; Rosaceae
Exons: 4
Source: RefSeq, a predicted model, not a curated record